GCAAAGGUAGCAUAGUCAUUAGUUCUUUAAUUGUGAUCUGGUAUGAAUGGCUUGACGAGGCAUGGGCUGUCUUAAUUUUGAAUUGUUUAUUGAAUUUGGUCUUUGAGUUAAAAUUCUUAGAUGUUUUUAUGGGACGAGAAGACCCUAUAGAGUUUAACAUUUGUUAUGGUCCCCUUUCUGUUUGUGAGGGCUCAUUGGGCCGUUUAAUAUGUUUUGUUGGGGUGAUGGGAGGGAUUAAUUUAACCCCUCCUUUUUAUUAUUAUAUUUAUUUAUAUUUACUUGAUCCAUUUAUUUUGAUUGUAAGAUUAAAUUACCUUAGGGAUAACAGCGUUAUCUUCCUUGAGAGUUCUUAUCGGCAGGGGGGUUUGCG
This 370-nucleotide ribosomal RNA is filed under the name Reticulitermes kanmonensis. RNAcentral describes it as "partial 16S ribosomal RNA". It matches the Rfam family "Bacterial large subunit ribosomal RNA", at positions 1950 to 2522 of the family's 2925-position model. Lineage: Eukaryota; Metazoa; Arthropoda; Insecta; Blattodea; Rhinotermitidae. The record is from RNAcentral.